Long non-coding RNA from Amazona collaria (yellow-billed parrot), 2051 nucleotides. The record is from Ensembl. NCBI's taxonomy places the organism in Eukaryota, Metazoa, Chordata, Aves, Psittaciformes, Psittacidae.
CAAGGCAUGUAAAACAGAUCUGUGUUGGCAAUAUACAGUACAGUUCUUUAAGCCAGUUUGUUGCGUUCUCGACAUGCAGAGCGCAUUGAUACUAGAUGUAGAAGUUGCUCAUGGUUAUUCUCUAUUUCUGGAAGUUCCUAUCAACAAGGAAAUGUUUCUUGUACAGAUAUUUUAAAAUGUGAAACAUUUUCUAACUGCCUUGUAUGGUAGAAACUUACUUUUCAGAACAGUGUAUCUCUCAUUCACUAUUCUUUUUACUAUCCCAUUCUUGAUGCUGAAUACCUAUAUGUAAUUUUGUCCAUGUUGCAGAAAAAGGAGGCUGUAUUACCACCAGUUUUCAUUUAGUAUUGUACAGUUAAACUGUUGCUCUUGUUUCUGAUGUUGCAAGCCAUUUUGUUUUCAUUGUAUAUAAAGAAACAUUAACUGUCUCUUUAAGAUGCUGCUGAAAUUGUAGAGAAUGUAGCCAAAACAGUAAUAAACAAUGACAGUUGAAAUUUCAAGGUUCUCAUUGUGUUCCUUUGCAUUUCAACAAAGGUGAAUCAGCUCACCAUAUCGCUGAGCUAUGCUUAGCUAUUUAAAGCAAAUGCUCUUCAAUUACAAACAGAAGGCCAAUAAUAAUUAAAGUAACAUUGGAGGUGUAAGGGGAGGAUUCCAUGGAACUUGAAUCUAUCAUAAUGACAUGUGUCAUAAUGAAGUAACGAAAGCAUCGUUUCACUGAAUAGACCUCACAGUAACAACUUCAAGUAUUUCAACAGGUCCUUCUAGAGUUAUUUAACUGUAGAAUAAGAUUAGCUUGUAGAAUAAAAUUAGACUCAAAUAUUCUUUCUGCCUUUUAUUCAUCAGAGUACUGGGACUGCAUCCCUUCCAUCCUCCACAGUGUGAGAUCAGGUCCAUGGUUCAAGGGAGGAGAACGUGCCAUAGCUACGUCUGCGUUAGUGCGUUUGGUGCCUGGUAUUCAGCAAGUUGUGCAUGGGAUAGAGUACCCUAGAGACUGAGUCCAGAGGCCCAAAUUACUGGUGCUUGUGGAGCAAUGCUGAUCCUCACCCAGGCUUGCAGCUGUGGCUCAUUGGCAGCUGGCAGAGCUUUCAUCACUGAUUAGAGCACUGGAAUACCUUCCUUGCAUGCCCUUCCAUUGCAAAGCCAGGUAAGUAGCAUAUAAUUUGGAAAACUACACAUGCGCACUUGCCUACAGUGAAUUUGCCUUUAUUAUUCCAUUUGUUAAAUGUCAACUCGUGUACAUUUAUAUGGUACCACGAAAUUCUCAUGUUGCUUGCAGGGUUACAUAAGGAUAUAUCAGAUGCUGAGCCUGAUCUCAUAAAUUGUAUUCUCAGAGCUAUCAGAUAUCAGGACAGUUUCAUUACUGAGCUCAAACACAUUCCAAUCUAGCAAAUUAGCAUAUCGUAAGUUAUCAUCCUAUCACCCGAUUAACAAAACCUGUACAGAUAAAAUAGAAUUACUGCUCUCUCAUCCUUCAUCAUCUGUAAGAAUUCUUGUGUUUUUAAUGAACCUCAGCCUUUUCCACUUAUAUUAAUACCUUAGUGUAUUGAUAAUAUCAAAACCUUAAUGAAUAGAUAGCAUGUUAAACAAAACAUGGUUCUAAUGGUGAAAACUGUAAAGAUUGGGAUUUUUUUAUCCUCAUCUCAGAGACAACUGUGAGGAAAUCAGCUGAAUUACAUUGAGAUAGCUUUUCUACUUUGGGGCAUACUUUGAUGUGCUCUGUUAACAUCAGGCAGCGAUAUGAAGGUCUCUUUUUUAUUUAGUGAGUCAGGACAUGUUUUUCUCCUUCCAGGUUUUGCAAAAGAUUACUUAGGUUGCAAAGGAUUUUGCUAGUUUUGUGCUAAGGAGCAACACAGAUGGGGCACAGAGAUCAUGAAGAAAAGCCAGUAUGAGCCAUUCAUAUUUGAAACUGGGGGAAAGCAAGUAGGAGUCAGCUGGGCAAGGCUCCAGACGGAUGGUGUGACUGAAAUGACGCUUCAGCUGUGCUCACUUAGAUAACUUGCUGUAUGUCCGGAACACUUUCAGACUCAGCCACUAUGCAACUGGGUGGAUAU